RNAcentral lists this ribosomal RNA (497 nucleotides) under uncultured bacterium. RNAcentral's name for it is "partial 16S ribosomal RNA". It matches the Rfam family "Bacterial small subunit ribosomal RNA", at positions 28 to 507 of the family's 1533-position model. The record is from RNAcentral.
GAUGAACGCUGGCGGCGUGCCUAAUACAUGCAAGUCGAGCGAACAGACGAGGAGCUUGCUCCUCUGACGUUAGCGGCGGACGGGUGAGUAACACGUGGAUAACCUACCUAUAAGACUGGGAUAACUUCGGGAAACCGGAGCUAAUACCGGAUAAUAUAUUGAACCGCAUGGUUCAAUAGUGAAAGACGGUUUUGCUGUCACUUAUAGAUGGAUCCGCGCCGCAUUAGCUAGUUGGUAAGGUAACGGCUUACCAAGGCAACGAUGCGUAGCCGACCUGAGAGGGUGAUCGGCCACACUGGAACUGAGACACGGUCCAGACUCCUACGGGAGGCAGCAGUAGGGAAUCUUCCGCAAAGGGCGAAAGCCUGACGGAGCAACGCCGCGUGAGUGAUGAAGGUCUUCGGAUCGUAAAACUCUGUUAUUAGGGAAGAACAAAUGUGUAAGUAACUAUGCAAGUCUUGACGGUACCUAAUCAGAAAGCCACGGCUAACUACGUG